CCUACGGGAGGCAGCAGUGGGGGAUAUUGCACAAUGGGGGGAACCCUGAUGCAGCGACGCCGCGUGGGUGAAGAAGCGCCUCGGCGCGUAAAGCCCUGUCAGCAGGGAAGAAAAUGACGGUACCUGAAGAAGAAGCCCCGGCUAACUACGUGCCAGCAGCCGCGGUAAUACGUAGGGGGCAAGCGUUAUCCGGAUUUACUGGGUGUAAAGGGGGCGCAGACGGCGAUGCAAGCCAGGCGUGAAAGCCCGGGGACCAACCCCGGGACUGCUCUUGGAACUGCGUGGCUGGAGUGCAGGAGGGGCAGGCGAAAUUCCUGGUGUAGCGGUGAAAUGCGUAGAUAUCAGGAGGAACACCGGUGGCGAAGGCGGCCUGCUGGACUGCAACUGACGUUGAGGCCCGAAAGCGUGGGGAGCAAACAGGAUUAGAUACCCCAGUAGUC
RNAcentral lists this ribosomal RNA (440 nucleotides) under uncultured bacterium. Its description in RNAcentral is "partial 16S ribosomal RNA". It matches the Rfam family "Bacterial small subunit ribosomal RNA", at positions 338 to 795 of the family's 1533-position model. The record is from RNAcentral.